GAUGAACGUUGGCGGUGUGCCUAAUACAUGCAAGUCGAACGGAGACUGUAGCAAUACUGUCUUAGUGGCGAACGGGUGAGUAACGCGUUGGUGAUCUGCCUCGAAGUGUGGAAUAACCUCCCGAAAGGGAAGCUAAUACCGCAUAGUCUCUCAAGGUUUAGAAAAUUGAGAGUAAAGGAUUUAUUCGCUUCGAGAGGAGCCUGCGUCCCAUCAGCUAGUUGGUAGGGUAACGGCCUACCAAGGCAAUGACGGGUAGGGGACCUGAGAGGGUGGCCCCCCACAAUGGAACUGAAACACGGUCCAUACACCUACGGGUGGCAGCAGUAAGGAAUAUUAGAAAUGGGCGGAAGCCUGAUCUAGCAACACCGCGUGUGCGAUGAAGGCCUUCGGGUCGUAAAGCACUUUUUGGAGGGAAUAGGAAGGAAGGUACCUCCAGAAUAAGUCUCGGCUAACUACGUG
RNAcentral lists this ribosomal RNA (459 nucleotides) under uncultured bacterium. RNAcentral describes it as "bacterial SSU rRNA". It matches the Rfam family "Bacterial small subunit ribosomal RNA", at positions 28 to 507 of the family's 1533-position model. The record is from RNAcentral.